Molecule: ribosomal RNA, 28 nt
Filed under: 'Helichrysum bracteatum' phytoplasma
Lineage: Bacteria; Bacillati; Mycoplasmatota; Mollicutes; Acholeplasmatales; Acholeplasmataceae
Description: partial 23S ribosomal RNA
Source: RNAcentral
AUCAAAGGAAUAAGGGCGCACAGGGAGC